Molecule: non-coding RNA, 70 nt
Organism: Danionella cerebrum
Lineage: Eukaryota; Metazoa; Chordata; Actinopteri; Cypriniformes; Danionidae
Source: the annotation of a GenBank genome assembly
GCAGUUGUGGCCUAGUGAACAUGGUGAUUGACUGGAGAUCAAAAGCUCACCGUUUCGAUCCCCAGCUCCA